RNAcentral lists this ribosomal RNA (116 nucleotides) under Escherichia coli. The record is from RNAcentral. Lineage: Bacteria; Pseudomonadati; Pseudomonadota; Gammaproteobacteria; Enterobacterales; Enterobacteriaceae.
CCUGGCGGCAGUAGCGCCGUGGUCCCACCUGACCCCAUGCCGAACUCAGAAGUGAAACGCCGUAGCGCCGAUGGUAGUGUGGGGUCUCCCCAUGCGAGAGUAGGGAACUGCCAGGC